RNAcentral lists this non-coding RNA (24 nucleotides) under Arabidopsis thaliana (thale cress). Lineage: Eukaryota; Viridiplantae; Streptophyta; Magnoliopsida; Brassicales; Brassicaceae. The record is from RNAcentral.
GAGCAGCCAUACUCUUCAGCGACU